GAACUGGGAUUAGCUCUUCAAGCGUCUCUGGUCUUAUCACCUCCAAGAUGGUUGAGCAAGUCCGCACAAACUGAUACCCUUGCAGCCGCUUCUUCAAUGAAGGUGUGGAAUCAGAAGUUUUCCAAGUUACAGCGGAAAUCAACAACGAUUUUUCGUACACAAAUCUCUAGUAAGACUUUUUUCAGGGUUCAAUCUGAAAGCUUAGUGAUGGUACCGAGCUCUGCGCCAACAAAGAACCAACUAGCACCCGAGCAGGAGAUGGAUUCCAUGGAAGGUGAUGCGGAAAACAGCGCAAACACAAACUAGCGAGGAAGGUGAGGUGUUAGCAGCAGUGGAAGCUUGGAGUUGGGGAGUACAUAUCGAAGCUACAAACAUCCAAAUUGAAACCAGCUGCAACAACCUCUAUAGGAUGAUAAAUGGAGCUCCAAACAACAUUUCUUGGCAAGCUUUAGCGAGAUGGGAUGCUAGUAAACAAACAGUCAUAAAAGCGAACAUAUGCGAUAAUAUUUUCUUUUUAAGUAUUGUAACUAAGAAAGCCAAUCAGGCAACUAUUGAUUUGGGGCAGAUGCCCAAAGCAACAGCAACCUGUGAACCUUACGGGCCUCCCCCCUUUUUUUAUUUUCAGAACUCUUAACCGGGAUAGGUUGCAUAUUAGCGAAUGCAACAAGACCCAAACAAUGUAACUUUCCAUAAUCUAUUUACUAGAUCUUUAUUAACAACAAAAAAAAA
Molecule: long non-coding RNA, 729 nt
Organism: Papaver somniferum (opium poppy)
Lineage: Eukaryota; Viridiplantae; Streptophyta; Magnoliopsida; Ranunculales; Papaveraceae
Exons: 4
Source: RefSeq, a predicted model, not a curated record